CGUUCUAUGGCCGAAUUGGUAAAGGCAUCGCCGAUCACAAGCGAGGUUGCGGGUUCGAGUCCCGCUGGAACGA
Molecule: transfer RNA, 73 nt
Filed under: Operophtera brumata (winter moth)
Lineage: Eukaryota; Metazoa; Arthropoda; Insecta; Lepidoptera; Geometridae
Rfam family: tRNA
About the family: Transfer RNA (tRNA) molecules are approximately 80 nucleotides in length. Their secondary structure includes four short double-helical elements and three loops (D, anti-codon, and T loops). Further hydrogen bonds mediate the characteristic L-shaped molecular structure. tRNAs have two regions of fundamental functional importance: the anti-codon, which is responsible for specific mRNA codon recognition, and the 3' end, to which the tRNAs corresponding amino acid is attached (by aminoacyl-tRNA synthetases). tRNAs cope with the degeneracy of the genetic code in two manners: having more than one tRNA (with a specific anti-codon) for a particular amino acid; and 'wobble' base-pairing, i.e. permitting non-standard base-pairing at the 3rd anti-codon position.
Source: Rfam by way of RNAcentral